Long non-coding RNA from Cyprinodon tularosa, 709 nucleotides. RefSeq lists it as uncharacterized. The transcript is spliced from 4 exons. Lineage: Eukaryota; Metazoa; Chordata; Actinopteri; Cyprinodontiformes; Cyprinodontidae. The record is from RefSeq and is a predicted model, not a curated record.
CAGAGAGAUUUAUGAAGUCUGCAGCUCCCGUUCAGUGCGCAGUGCAUCAGCAGAGCGCCAGCAGCUGGCUCAAAGGACGAACAGCAGGUUGCCAGACUGAGCCUCAGAGCUAUUUUAAACCGAUUUCUCUCGUUCAAAAAAACGGUGAUGUCAGCAGAGACUGGUCUACUUGUUGGAUGAAUCUCAUUCAUGUGGUAGUAAAGUCCUCUCUUUGCGAGGACGGAAGUUAAGUCACAUGCGCAUUGACAAGCUGGAGGGCUGCGUAAUGGAGAUCGUGGGAAAGGACAAUAAUUUGUGAACUGCGUACGGGAAUGUCAGGAGGGAAGCGUUCGUUUGAUACCCCGUGAGGGCACCCAGGUGAAUCAUCUGAGCAGCAAUGAAGACGCACCUAGCAGCGUCUGUUUCCAGCUUUAGCGCGCACGGACUAUGAAUGAGGAAUGACCAAUGCCUCUUCUUUGCAUCAGUCUCCUUGUUCUUGUGCUUCUACCACUGUCACUCUGCUGUGACAAAAACUUAUCGGCAUUUCAAGACCUUAGUAUGAUUUUACCAGCACAAAUGGAAAAUAUCAGGAAAAAUCUGACAAAGGAACUGAAAGACAUAUCCUGCCAAGAGCUGAAAAACAAAGUGCCAAACUGUACGGUGCAAACAGAGGAAGCUGAUAUCAUGGAAACCUUGUUCUUGCAAGCCUGUGAUAUGCUUCGUCUUCAAC